This 71-nucleotide transfer RNA is filed under the name Aedes aegypti (yellow fever mosquito). It matches the Rfam family "tRNA". From Rfam's summary of the family: Transfer RNA (tRNA) molecules are approximately 80 nucleotides in length. Their secondary structure includes four short double-helical elements and three loops (D, anti-codon, and T loops). Lineage: Eukaryota; Metazoa; Arthropoda; Insecta; Diptera; Culicidae. The record is from Rfam by way of RNAcentral.
GGCUCAGUAGCUUAGAUGGUAAAGCGCUCGUCUAGCAUAUACGUGUCGUGGGUUCAAAUCCCAUCUGGCUG